AAUCAACGCUGGCGGCGUGCCUCAGACAUGCAAGUCGAACGCGAAAUUUCCCUUCGGGGAGAAAGUAGAGUGGCGCACGGGUGAGUAACACGUAGGUAAUUUGCCUUUGGGUGGGGAAUAACUCAGGGAAACUUGAGCUAAUACCGCAUAAUGCAGCGGCUCGACAUCGAGACAGUUGUUAAAGCGGGGGAUUGGAGCAAUCCGACCUCGCGCCUAAAGAGAAGCCUGCGGCAGAUUAGCUAGUUGGUAAGGUAAUGGCUUACCAAGGCGACGAUCUGUAACGGCCUGAGAGGGCGGUCGGUCACACUGACACUGACAUACGGGUCAGACUCCUACGGGAGGCAGCAGUCGGG
Molecule: ribosomal RNA, 353 nt
Filed under: uncultured bacterium
Lineage: Bacteria
Description: bacterial SSU rRNA
Rfam family: Bacterial small subunit ribosomal RNA
Source: RNAcentral